This 301-nucleotide ribosomal RNA is filed under the name uncultured bacterium. Its description in RNAcentral is "partial 16S ribosomal RNA". It matches the Rfam family "Bacterial small subunit ribosomal RNA", at positions 509 to 807 of the family's 1533-position model. The record is from RNAcentral.
CAGCCGCCGCGGUAAUACGUAGGGUGCGAGCGUUAAUCGGAAUUACUGGGCGUAAAGCGUGCGCAGGCGGUUAUGUAAGACAGUUGUGAGAUCCCCGGGCUCAACCUGGGAACUGCAUCUGUGACUGCAUAGCUAGAGUACGGUAGAGGGGGAUGGAAUUCCGCGUGUAGCAGUGAAAUGCGUAGAUAUGCGGAGGAACACCGAUGGCGAAGGCAAUCCCCUGGACCUGUACUGACGCUCAUGCACGAAAGCGUGGGGAGCAAACAGGAUUAGAUACCCGUGUAGUCCCUGUCUCUUAUAC